Molecule: ribosomal RNA, 491 nt
Filed under: uncultured bacterium
Lineage: Bacteria
Description: partial 16S ribosomal RNA
Rfam family: Bacterial small subunit ribosomal RNA
Source: RNAcentral
GGUGAACGCUGGCGGUAGGCCUAACACAUGCAAGUCGAACGGCAGCACAGUAAGAGCUUGCUCUUACGGGUGGCGAGUGGCGGACGGGUGAGGAAUACAUCGGAAUCUACUUUUUCGUGGGGGAUAACGUAGGGAAACUUACGCUAAUACCGCAUACGACCUACGGGUGAAAGCAGGGGAUCUUCGGACCUUGCGCGAUUGAAUGAGCCGAUGUCGGAUUAGCUAGUUGGCGGGGUAAAGGCCCACCAAGGCGACGAUCCGUAGCUGGUCUGAGAGGAUGAUCAGCCACACUGGAACUGAGACACGGUCCAGACUCCUGCGGGAGGCAGCAGUGGGGAAUAUUGGACAAUGGGCGCAAGCCUGAUCCAGCCAUACCGCGUGGGUGAAGAAGGCCUUCGGGUUGUAAAGCCCUUUUGUUGGGAAAGAAAAGCAGCAGGUUAAUACCCCGCUGUUCUGACGGUACCCAAAGAAUAAGCACCGGCUAACUUCGU